GACGAACGCUGGCGGCGUGCUUAACACAUGCAAGUCGAACGGAAAGGCCCUGCUUUUGUGGGGUUCUCAAGUGGCGAACGGGUGAGUAACACGUGAGUAACCUGCCCUUGACUUUGUGAUAACUUCAGGAAACUGGUGCUAAUACCGGAUAGGAGCUCCUGCUGCAUUGUGGGUGUUGGAAAGUUUCGUCGGUUGGGGAUGUACUCGCUUCUUAUCAGCUUGUUUGUGGUGUAGUGGCUUACCAAGGCUUUGACGGGUAGCCGGCAUGAGAGGGUGACCGGACAAAUUGGGAGUGAGAGAAGGCACAGAGUGGAACGGGAGGCAGGAGUGGGGAAUAGUGAAAAAAGGGAGGAAGCAUGAAGAAGAAAAGCAGGGUGCGGGAUGAAGGGCUUAGGGUUGUAAAAAGAUUUAGAAUGAGAAGAAGAGUGAGUGACGGUAAUGGGUAAAGAAGCACCGGCUAACUACGUG
This 468-nucleotide ribosomal RNA is filed under the name uncultured bacterium. Its description in RNAcentral is "partial 16S ribosomal RNA". It matches the Rfam family "Bacterial small subunit ribosomal RNA", at positions 28 to 507 of the family's 1533-position model. The record is from RNAcentral.